AUUGAACGCUGGCGGCAUGCCUUACACAUGCAAGUCGAACGGCAGCACGGACUUCGGUCUGGUGGCGAGUGGCGAACGGGUGAGUAAUGUAUCGGAACGUACCUUUCAGUGGGGGAUAACGUAGCGAAAGUUACGCUAAUACCGCAUAUUCUGUGAGCAGGAAAGCAGGGGAUCGAAAGACCUUGCGCUGAUUGAGCGGCCGAUAUCAGAUUAGCUAGUUGGUGGGGUAAAGGCCUACCAAGGCGACGAUCUGUAGCGGGUCUGAGAGGAUGAUCCGCCACACUGGAAAUGGGACACGGUCCAGCCCCCUACGGGGGGCAGCAGGGGGGAAUUUUGGAAAAGGGGGGAAACCCUGACCCCGCCAGGCCGGGGGGGUGAAGAAGGCCUGGGGGUUGUAAAGCCCUUUCGGCGGGAAAAAAAUCGCAUAGGCUAAAACCCUGUGGGGAGGACGGUACCGGAAUAAGAAGCACCGGCUAACUACGU
RNAcentral lists this ribosomal RNA (483 nucleotides) under uncultured bacterium. RNAcentral's name for it is "partial 16S ribosomal RNA". It matches the Rfam family "Bacterial small subunit ribosomal RNA", at positions 29 to 506 of the family's 1533-position model. The record is from RNAcentral.